AUUGAACGCUGGCGGCAUGCCUUACACAUGCAAGUCGAACGGCAGCACGGGUGCUUGCACCUGCUGGCGAGUGGCGAACGGGUGAGUAAUACAUCGGAACAUGUCCUGUAGUGGGGGAUAGCCCGGCGAAAGCCGGAUUAAUACCGCAUACGAUCUACGGAUGAAAGCGGGGGACCUUCGGGCCUCGCGCUAUAGGGUUGGCCGAUGGCUGAUUAGCUAGUUGGUGGGGUAAAGGCCUACCAAGGCGACGAUCAGUAGCUGGUCUGAGAGGACGACCAGCCACACUGGGACUGAGACACGGCCCAGACUCCUACGGGAGGCAGCAGUGGGGAAUUUUGGACAAAGGGCGAAAGCCUGAUCCAGCAAUGCCGCGUGUGUGAAGAAGGCCUUCGGGUUGUAAAGCACUUUUGUCCGGAAAGAAAUCCUUGGCCCUAAUACGGUCGGGGGAUGACGGUACCGGAAGAAUAAGCACCGGCUAACUACGUG
Molecule: ribosomal RNA, 486 nt
Filed under: uncultured bacterium
Lineage: Bacteria
Description: partial 16S ribosomal RNA
Rfam family: Bacterial small subunit ribosomal RNA
Source: RNAcentral